RNAcentral lists this ribosomal RNA (967 nucleotides) under uncultured Planctomycetota bacterium. Its description in RNAcentral is "bacterial SSU rRNA". It matches the Rfam family "Bacterial small subunit ribosomal RNA", at positions 8 to 992 of the family's 1533-position model. The record is from RNAcentral. Lineage: Bacteria; Pseudomonadati; Planctomycetota.
AGAGUUUGAUCCUGGCUCAGAAUGAACGUUGGCGGCGCGGAUUAGGCAUGCAAGUCGUACGGUAAGCUUCGGCUUAUAGUGGCGAAAGGGAGGGUAACGCGUGGUUACAUGCCCUCGGGACCGGGAUAGCGGCGGGAAACUGCCGGUAAUACCGGAUAAUAUCUUUGGAUCAAAGGUGUGAUUCCGCCCGAGGAUUGGACCGCGUUCUAUUAGCUUGUUGGCGGGGUAAUGGCCCACCAAGGCGACGAUGGAUACCGGGUGCGAGAGCAUGGCCCGGCUCACUGGGACUGAGACACUGCCCAGACACCUACGGGUGGCUGCAGUCGAGAAUCUUCGGCAAUGGGGGCAACCCUGACCGAGCGACGCCGCGUGCGGGACGAAGGCCUUCGGGUUGUAAACCGCUGUCAGUUGGGAGGAAGUGCCGGGGGGUUCUCCCCUCGGUUUGACCGAUCUUCAGAGGAAGGACGGGCUAAGUUCGUGCCAGCAGCCGCGGUAAGACGAACCGUCCAAACGUUAUUCGGUAUCACUGGGCUUAAAGCGUGCGUAGGCGGCCUGGUAGGUGAGGUGUGAAAGCCCACGGCUCAACCGUGGAAUUGCGCUUCAAACCACCAGGCUGGAGGAUGGCAGGGGUGAUGGGAACUGAUGGUGGAGCGGUGAAAUGCGUUGAUAUCAUCAGGAACACCGGUGGCGAAGGCGCAUCACUGGGCCAUUUCUGACGCUGAGGCACGAAAGCUAGGGUAGCGAACGGGAUUAGAUACCCCGGUAGUCCUAGCUGUAAACGAUGAGCACUGGGUUGAGGGGACCUCCACAUCUUCUCGGCCGUAGCGAAAGCGUUAAGUGCUCCGCCUGGGGAGUAUGGCCGCAAGGCUGAAACUCAAAGGAAUUGACGGGGGCUCACACAAGCGGUGGAGGAUGUGGCUUAAUUCGAGGCUACGCGAAGAACCUUAUCCUAGACUUGACAUGCUUA